This 253-nucleotide ribosomal RNA is filed under the name uncultured bacterium. RNAcentral's name for it is "partial 16S ribosomal RNA". It matches the Rfam family "Bacterial small subunit ribosomal RNA", at positions 524 to 776 of the family's 1533-position model. The record is from RNAcentral.
UACGAAGGGGGCUAGCGUUGCUCGGAAUUACUGGGCGGAAAGCGCACGUAGGCGGAUUGUUAAGUCGGGGGUGAAAUCCUGGAGCUCAACUCCAGAACUGCCUUCGAUACUGGCGAUCUCGAGUUCGGGAGAGGUGAGUGGAGCUGCGAGUGUAGAGGUGAAAUUCGUAGAUAUUCGCAAGAACACCAGUGGCGAAGGCGGCUCACUGGCCCGAUACUGACGCUGAGGUGCGAAAGCGUGGGGAGCAAACAGG